GCCUUCGUGGUGUAAUGGUCAGCACCCUGAGCCAGUAUUUCAGAGGUCCGCGGUUCGAUUCCCGGCGAAGGCG
This 73-nucleotide transfer RNA is filed under the name Stegodyphus mimosarum. It matches the Rfam family "tRNA". Rfam says of the family: Transfer RNA (tRNA) molecules are approximately 80 nucleotides in length. The record is from Rfam by way of RNAcentral. Lineage: Eukaryota; Metazoa; Arthropoda; Arachnida; Araneae; Eresidae.